Molecule: non-coding RNA, 4442 nt
Organism: Zonotrichia albicollis (white-throated sparrow)
Lineage: Eukaryota; Metazoa; Chordata; Aves; Passeriformes; Passerellidae
Source: RefSeq, a predicted model, not a curated record
GGGCAGCCCCGGUCCCCGCUGCCGCCGCAGGGUGCGCGGGGCUCCGCCGAUGGAUGCGGGCACGAUGGAGAACGGCUCGGCCAGCGGCAACCAGAGCCUGGGCAGGAUGCCCCGGCAGCCCCUGGAGCUGCAGGUGGUCACCAUCCUGCUGGUGCUGCUCAUCUGCGGUGUGGGCAUCGCGGGCAACGCCAUGGUGGUGCUGGUGGUGCUGCGCACCAAGCACAUGGUGACCCCCACCAACUGCUACCUGGUGAGCCUGGCCGUGGCCGACCUCAUCGUGCUGCUGGCGGCCGGGCUGCCCAACAUCUCCGAAGUGGUGGCUUCUUGGGUGUACGGCUACGCCGGCUGCCUCUGCAUCACCUACCUGCAGUAUCUGGGCAUCAACAUCUCGGCCUGGUCCAUCGCCGCCUUCACGGUGGAGCGGUACAUCGCCAUCUGCCACGCCAUCAAGGCGCAGCUCCUGUGCACCGUGUCCCGCGCCCGCCGCAUCAUCGCCUCGCUGUGGCUCUUCACCUCCCUCUAUUGCCUCAUGUGGUUCUUCCUGGUGGACACCACCCAGGUCACCUUCUCGGACGGGGCGCAGGUCAUCUGCGGCUACCGGGUCUCCAGAAACCUUUACAUGCCCAUUUACUUCUUGGAUUUUGCCGUCUUCUAUGUCAUCCCGCUGGGGCUGGCCACUGUCCUGUACGGCCUCAUUGCCCGCAUCCUGUUCGUGAGCCCCCUGCCCGGCACCCCGCAGCAGCAGCACUCCUUCCUGGGCUCCGUGCACCUGGGCAGCUCCCUCCGGCUCUCCUGCCGGGGCACCAGGGGCGCCCUGAGCUCCCGCAGGCAGGUGACCAAGAUGCUGGCAGUGGUGGUGGCCCUCUUUGCCGUGCUGUGGCUGCCGUACCGCACGCUGGUGGUGGUGAACUCCUUCGUGGACCCUCCGUACCUCAACACCUGGUUCCUCCUCUUCUGCCGCCUGUGCAUCUACCUGAACAGCGCCAUCAACCCCAUCAUCUACAACCUCAUGUCACAGAAGUUCAGGGCUGCCUUCAGGAAGUUGUACAAGUGCCAGGAGAAGAGUGCAGAGCACCCUGCCCCCUGCGCCACCCCGGUGUACUACAGUGCUGUGAAGGAUUGUUCUCACGACAGCUCUGAGCACAACCUCACCGAGCAGGAGGAUCUGAGCAGGCUCCCUGCACCAGCAAAGAAGAAUAAACAAAUCCUGUGAGCCUGAAACAAUGCAGGCAGUGGGAGCUGUGUGGCUGUGCAUACUGUGCUGGGAGAGUGCCAAGAGGAAUUGCUUUGGCAUUGUGGCAAGCUUCAUUCAAUAUUUCUUCAGGGCAUUUAACAAAACAUAUUGUUAUAAGCAAAUUAAUUUGCUUUUCCUUAGUGCUCAUUUAUCCUUGUUUGGUGAAGCAUUAGGCACGUGUCAAUAUUUAGCAUCUCUAAAGUAUCUAUUGUUAAAUAUAGCAGUGCCACCCCAUUUUGUGUUAGGGGCAAGUGCUGAGCUGGGCCAAAGCACAGAAAGGAAUCCCAGGAACAGAAGGGCAUUCAAGGAAAAAAUACACUUUGUAAGAGUGAGCCUCUCCUACCCAAACUGACACCCUAUGGAAGCUGCUCCUCUGGAGUCCUUCUGAAGUUAAUGGGAACAAUUAGGCACUUUCAUGUGUCUCCUCUCAUCUCAAUGCUCUUCUGUGAGGAGUACACAUCCCUACAGCGGAGAUCAGUGCCUCCCAAGGUAUGAGGCCAUUGGCUGUAAAGGGACUCUCUGGAGGAGACUCCUGCAUUAGGAAUAACCAAAGUUGGGUGUCAUGAGCCUCCUGUCAUGUUUCUGGAAACACUGCAGUGCUGAUAGCACAGAAACCAAGGUCCAGACCAGAUGGAUUUGCUACAAUGAACAAACUAAUAAUGAACAAACUAAUAAUAAGCAUUCCUUAAUGUAACAGAAGUACUUCCAACGUUGUGGUCUGAGUUUCUUUUGGAUAACAUUAUCUUUCCUGUCCUAAUUCCUCUGGUUGUUUCUUGUCCUGUAAGCCCCAGCGUGGCAUAGUCAUUACCACAGAGAAGUGUUCUCUCUGCCCCAGCUACAGGUGCAUUGCAAUGGCAGGUGAAGAAAUUCUUUUAUUUCCUGGGAAGAACUUGUGAAGUCCAUUAAGUGUUUUGUGAUUAAUGACACAAAUAUUUAUUGCUGCUGUCAUCUUGUAAGCAAAGUAGAUAUUCAUACCCUGCAGCAUCCAGGAAACCAGCCCAAGGACACUUGCCCCAGACUUGCAAGAGACUAUCUGGACUAUGAGUAAAAUCAAAAAGCUUGCAAAUGAGCCAAACCCUAGGGCUCUUGCCAAAUAAAACAAGUGUCUGCCACCAAUAAACCUCAAGUGACUGUGAAGUAUUACUUGAACAGCCUCACUAGUCAACACUGGCUUUCACCAAACUAUAGUGUUAAAAGAGCCUAGAAUUUUGCAUCCAUUCAGGAAAAUAUGUGCAUGGCAUUUUCAAGGGCACAAGAUGUUAAUUAACCAUUCUGCAUCUACAGGAAAUCGCUUCACUGGGCAUAAGGUAACCUCUCCCAUGAUAGCCACCCUGCAUCCUCUGCUGGAAAAUCUGUUUGUUGGGUGCAAUGAGAGGCCAGGACCUCCCGACAGCCUGGCACACCAAGGGGAGGAACCUGCAGAUGUACAGUGGCAUUUUCAGCAAGACCCUCCUUUUCACUGUAACUCACAACAUUUUUAUAGAAAAAAAAGGGGUGAAGGGACAAAUUCAGCACACCUACUGCCUUUCCCAUUACAGUGGGAAGCCACCCACUGCAAGCUGCUUCUGUGAAGAGCAUUGUUGGUGGCAGGAAAGUGCUUGGAUGGUGCCUGGUCCCAAAAGAGACCCCAUCUCCACCCAGGGCACCCCAAAGGCACCAACAGCCUUGGAUCCACCAGUCCCUCACACCCCACCCCGCGGCCCCAUCCAUGGGCAGGACUCGGGUCACACUUCAACAAGCCCAAUUUCAACUUGCUCCCCCUCUCAGUCCUCCAUACAUGGAAAAUGAUGCCAGGUGACAGGGGAAAGGAAAGACUUUUUGUUCAUCCCUCUGGAUGACUUCCAAGCACGGAGAGCAGCGCCGUCCACCCCGAGCCACAGCGUGGCUCUCAUGAGUCAUUCCGCUUGCUGGAUUGCUUCAUCUCCAUGCCAUGGAUGACAAUCUCUGGAAAAUCUCUGACACUGAGUCAACCAAGGGAGUUACAAAACACAUCAGUGUGCACGUAUGAGACCUUCUCACUCAUUUUCCUACAGCUACAGAUAAAUCCCUCAUCCCUGGCAUGGCAGGACAGUUGAUGGCUUUGGUGAGAAUAAUUUAAGGCAACUGCUAUUUUAUACAAAGAAGAGGAGACCACAGUGCAGAAACCCUGGUUUUUCCUUGGUAGAUUGCAGAGGCCAGCCACAGCCUGGGAGCAGGAAACUGAAUUGAUCUUCAGACACUCUCAUUUAAGGUUGAUGUUUGCAGUGCAACCUUGGGAUCUCAAGUCCUCCUCUUAGGUGUUUCCAGGUGGCUGAGCUUUAAUCCCCGCCAAGGUCUGAGGUCUCCACCAGCAGCAACGCCUGUCCCAGACACAGAUAAAUAGGAAAGUCAAGGGAGAGCAAAACACAUGACCAACACUUUACCACAGCUGCCUGCAAAGCUUCCACCUGGGCAGGCUGAGUGAGACUAAAAACGACAGAAAGCAGUGCCCAGCAGAGUCCUGGGAAAGCAGCCCAAUAUCCUCACAGGGGCUUAGAAGUGUCUCUUGUGUUCUCAUGAGGCUCAAGGGCCACGUUCAGCCUGGAUGGCAGAUUUUGUUUGAAAUAUUUGAGCCCAAGUCCUGCGCAAGCUCAGGACACUUUCCUGUCUGUGGGAGUACCACAGGCACAAGAAAUCUCACAAGAUUUUAUUGCCACCAAAUCCAAAUGUAAACACUUAUCCCAAUUCAAGUGGAAGACCUGAGCAAGCUCCAGUCUCACAUACAUCUUGAUUCAUCUUUAUCUUUAGUAAAACAAUUAAGUAACUGCUGCAAACUAGUACUGGUGCAAUUAGAGCUGCAGUUUUCACAGUUUCACGUUUUUUAUGUGUUCUUGCAUCUUGCUGGUCUGAGUGCCAAGAAAUAAAGUAAUGUACAAGUUACCUGGGAGCAGCCAUGUUGAAACAGCAAAUUUAAAGUGUUUCUUGAAGCAUCUGCAGCAUUUGCAGUAAACAAAUUUCAAAUUUAACAUCACACACUCUUGCAAUGGAAUUCUCACUCCAUGAAACAUGCCCAUGGUACUGGGAAGGCAAAACUAUAUGGUGAGAAUGUAUCCCACCCACACAGUUCUUAAUUUUGAGAAAAUGUAUGAAAUUAUUAAAUAAUUUCAUGCAAUAAUUUUUUGACAUUUCUGAAAAGUGAGUCAACCUUAAAACACCCAGUGACAUCUACAAAUUGAGGGUAAAAUCUCUU